RNAcentral lists this ribosomal RNA (498 nucleotides) under uncultured bacterium. RNAcentral describes it as "partial 16S ribosomal RNA". It matches the Rfam family "Bacterial small subunit ribosomal RNA", at positions 30 to 523 of the family's 1533-position model. The record is from RNAcentral.
AUUGAACGCUGGCGGCAUGCUUUACACAUGCAAGUCGAACGGUAACAGGCCGCGAGGUGCUGACGAGUGGCGAACGGGUGAGUAAUGCAUCGGAACGUGCCCAGUCGUGGGGGAUAACUAUCCGAAAGGAUAGCUAAUACCGCAUACGAUCUGCGGAUGAAAGCGGGGGACCUUCGGGCCUCGCGCGAUUGGAGCGGCCGAUGUCAGAUUAGGUAGUUGGUGGGGUAAAGGCUCACCAAGCCAACGAUCUGUAGCUGGUCUGAGAGGACGACCAGCCACACUGGGACUGAGACACGGCCCAGACUCCUACGGGAGGCAGCAGUGGGGAAUUUUGGACAAUGGGCGCAAGCCUGAUCCAGCAAUGCCGCGUGCAGGAAGAAGGCCUUCGGGUUGUAAACUGCUUUUGUACGGAACGAAACGGCUCUGGUUAAUACCUGGGGCUAAUGACGGUACCGUAGGAAUAAGCACCGGCUAACUACGUGCCAGCCGCCGCAGUAA